Molecule: ribosomal RNA, 2900 nt
Filed under: Escherichia coli
Lineage: Bacteria; Pseudomonadati; Pseudomonadota; Gammaproteobacteria; Enterobacterales; Enterobacteriaceae
Description: Bacterial large subunit ribosomal RNA
Rfam family: Bacterial large subunit ribosomal RNA
Source: RNAcentral
GUUAAGCGACUAAGCGUACACGGUGGAUGCCCUGGCAGUCAGAGGCGAUGAAGGACGUGCUAAUCUGCGAUAAGCGUCGGUAAGGUGAUAUGAACCGUUAUAACCGGCGAUUUCCGAAUGGGGAAACCCAGUGUGUUUCGACACACUAUCAUUAACUGAAUCCAUAGGUUAAUGAGGCGAACCGGGGGAACUGAAACAUCUAAGUACCCCGAGGAAAAGAAAUCAACCGAGAUUCCCCCAGUAGCGGCGAGCGAACGGGGAGCAGCCCAGAGCCUGAAUCAGUAUGUGUGUUAGUGGAAGCGUCUGGAAAGGCGCGCGAUACAGGGUGACAGCCCCGUACACAAAAAUGCACAUGCUGUGAGCUCGAUGAGUAGGGCGGGACACGUGGUAUCCUGUCUGAAUAUGGGGGGACCAUCCUCCAAGGCUAAAUACUCCUGACUGACCGAUAGUGAACCAGUACCGUGAGGGAAAGGCGAAAAGAACCCCGGCGAGGGGAGUGAAAAAGAACCUGAAACCGUGUACGUACAAGCAGUGGGAGCACGCUUAGGCGUGUGACUGCGUACCUUUUGUAUAAUGGGUCAGCGACUUAUAUUCUGUAGCAAGGUUAACCGAAUAGGGGAGCCGAAGGGAAACCGAGUCUUAACUGGGCGUUAAGUUGCAGGGUAUAGACCCGAAACCCGGUGAUCUAGCCAUGGGCAGGUUGAAGGUUGGGUAACACUAACUGGAGGACCGAACCGACUAAUGUUGAAAAAUUAGCGGAUGACUUGUGGCUGGGGGUGAAAGGCCAAUCAAACCGGGAGAUAGCUGGUUCUCCCCGAAAGCUAUUUAGGUAGCGCCUCGUGAAUUCAUCUCCGGGGGUAGAGCACUGUUUCGGCAAGGGGGUCAUCCCGACUUACCAACCCGAUGCAAACUGCGAAUACCGGAGAAUGUUAUCACGGGAGACACACGGCGGGUGCUAACGUCCGUCGUGAAGAGGGAAACAACCCAGACCGCCAGCUAAGGUCCCAAAGUCAUGGUUAAGUGGGAAACGAUGUGGGAAGGCCCAGACAGCCAGGAUGUUGGCUUAGAAGCAGCCAUCAUUUAAAGAAAGCGUAAUAGCUCACUGGUCGAGUCGGCCUGCGCGGAAGAUGUAACGGGGCUAAACCAUGCACCGAAGCUGCGGCAGCGACACUAUGUGUUGUUGGGUAGGGGAGCGUUCUGUAAGCCUGUGAAGGUGUGCUGUGAGGCAUGCUGGAGGUAUCAGAAGUGCGAAUGCUGACAUAAGUAACGAUAAAGCGGGUGAAAAGCCCGCUCGCCGGAAGACCAAGGGUUCCUGUCCAACGUUAAUCGGGGCAGGGUGAGUCGACCCCUAAGGCGAGGCCGAAAGGCGUAGUCGAUGGGAAACAGGUUAAUAUUCCUGUACUUGGUGUUACUGCGAAGGGGGGACGGAGAAGGCUAUGUUGGCCGGGCGACGGUUGUCCCGGUUUAAGCGUGUAGGCUGGUUUUCCAGGCAAAUCCGGAAAAUCAAGGCUGAGGCGUGAUGACGAGGCACUACGGUGCUGAAGCAACAAAUGCCCUGCUUCCAGGAAAAGCCUCUAAGCAUCAGGUAACAUCAAAUCGUACCCCAAACCGACACAGGUGGUCAGGUAGAGAAUACCAAGGCGCUUGAGAGAACUCGGGUGAAGGAACUAGGCAAAAUGGUGCCGUAACUUCGGGAGAAGGCACGCUGAUAUGUAGGUGAAGCGACUUGCUCGUGGAGCUGAAAUCAGUCGAAGAUACCAGCUGGCUGCAACUGUUUAUUAAAAACACAGCACUGUGCAAACACGAAAGUGGACGUAUACGGUGUGACGCCUGCCCGGUGCCGGAAGGUUAAUUGAUGGGGUUAGCGCAAGCGAAGCUCUUGAUCGAAGCCCCGGUAAACGGCGGCCGUAACUAUAACGGUCCUAAGGUAGCGAAAUUCCUUGUCGGGUAAGUUCCGACCUGCACGAAUGGCGUAAUGAUGGCCAGGCUGUCUCCACCCGAGACUCAGUGAAAUUGAACUCGCUGUGAAGAUGCAGUGUACCCGCGGCAAGACGGAAAGACCCCGUGAACCUUUACUAUAGCUUGACACUGAACAUUGAGCCUUGAUGUGUAGGAUAGGUGGGAGGCUUAGAAGUGUGGACGCCAGUCUGCAUGGAGCCGACCUUGAAAUACCACCCUUUAAUGUUUGAUGUUCUAACGUUGACCCGUAAUCCGGGUUGCGGACAGUGUCUGGUGGGUAGUUUGACUGGGGCGGUCUCCUCCUAAAGAGUAACGGAGGAGCACGAAGGUUGGCUAAUCCUGGUCGGACAUCAGGAGGUUAGUGCAAUGGCAUAAGCCAGCUUGACUGCGAGCGUGACGGCGCGAGCAGGUGCGAAAGCAGGUCAUAGUGAUCCGGUGGUUCUGAAUGGAAGGGCCAUCGCUCAACGGAUAAAAGGUACUCCGGGGAUAACAGGCUGAUACCGCCCAAGAGUUCAUAUCGACGGCGGUGUUUGGCACCUCGAUGUCGGCUCAUCACAUCCUGGGGCUGAAGUAGGUCCCAAGGGUAUGGCUGUUCGCCAUUUAAAGUGGUACGCGAGCUGGGUUUAGAACGUCGUGAGACAGUUCGGUCCCUAUCUGCCGUGGGCGCUGGAGAACUGAGGGGGGCUGCUCCUAGUACGAGAGGACCGGAGUGGACGCAUCACUGGUGUUCGGGUUGUCAUGCCAAUGGCACUGCCCGGUAGCUAAAUGCGGAAGAGAUAAGUGCUGAAAGCAUCUAAGCACGAAACUUGCCCCGAGAUGAGUUCUCCCUGACCCUUUAAGGGUCCUGAAGGAACGUUGAAGACGACGACGUUGAUAGGCCGGGUGUGUAAGCGCAGCGAUGCGUUGAGCUAACCGGUACUAAUGAACCGUGAGGCUUAACC